This 250-nucleotide ribosomal RNA is filed under the name uncultured bacterium. RNAcentral describes it as "partial 16S ribosomal RNA". It matches the Rfam family "Bacterial small subunit ribosomal RNA", at positions 524 to 776 of the family's 1533-position model. The record is from RNAcentral.
UACGUAGGAGGCAAGCGUUGUCCGGAGUUACUGGGCGUAAAGCGUACGCAGGCGGUCCAAUGAGUCUGUAGGGACAGGGCACGGCUUAACUGUGUCAGGCUUAUGGAAACUGUUGGACUUGAGGGCUUCAGAGGAUGGGGAAUUCCGGGUGGAGUGGUGAAAUGCGUAGAGAUCCGGAAGAACACCAAAGGCGUAGGCACCAUCCUGGGAGUCACUGACGCUCAUGUACGAAAGCUAGGGAGCGAACGGG